Molecule: non-coding RNA, 545 nt
Organism: Salvelinus sp. IW2-2015
Lineage: Eukaryota; Metazoa; Chordata; Actinopteri; Salmoniformes; Salmonidae
Source: RefSeq, a predicted model, not a curated record
GACGGACCUGUGUUCCUCUGAGCUCUGUCAUGCAAUAACUAAUGUGCGUCUGAAAUGGCACCCUAUUCCCUGUAUAGUGCACUACUUUUGGCCAGCACACUGGUCAAAAGUAGUGCACUAUACAGGGAAUCGGGUGUAAUUGUGGAUGUACACUAACUGUCUUGAUGCCCUGGGCCCAGUUUUUCAAAACUUUUAAUCUGGAUAAGGAUGAUCCGGAUUCUGUAAUCCUUUUUUGCAAUCCAGGAUCAGAUUAAUCAUGUUGUUUUUGGGCCAGUUUUUCAGAAAAAAAUCGGAUAGGAUCAUUCUGAUCCACAACAUGAAGAUCACAGAAUCCAGAUUGUCAGUGCUUUCAACAGGCCUACAGACCUUUCCAUCUAGUGGACAUAUUAUGGGACUACUACACUGUCAUAGGGAAACAGAGAUGAGUAAACUACAUGAAUAAAGAAAUCCGAUCAGAUAACUUUUGAAAAACUGGGCCCAGAGACUGUGUGCCUUCCACUUUGUAACAACCAUACCUUCUGAGGGUAAAGCAGCUUCAAUCGAAA